Molecule: unclassified non-coding RNA, 2322 nt
Filed under: Pectinophora gossypiella (pink bollworm)
Lineage: Eukaryota; Metazoa; Arthropoda; Insecta; Lepidoptera; Gelechiidae
Description: organic cation transporter protein-like
Source: RNAcentral
CGUCGCGAUUCCUAUUGUUGCAUAUCAAUGCAUUAUUUCACAGUGAACGGCAGUCCAAACGCCACUGGCUAUUUGCGAGCGUAUUUAAAAUUCGAAAUGUGCAUUUAAAUAACUACCAAUUGUUCCUAAUUGAUUUCUGAGUUAUACUUACUUAUUUUAUAAUGGUGGCGGCUGACGUAUCGUCUGUAAAUAAAGAUGUCUUUCAAGAAUUGGAAAAUUUCGGCAGAUAUCAAACUUUACAAUUUAUUUUGAUCUGCCUACCACUGUUUGUUGUAUCUAUGAGUAUAGUCAACUAUGUGUUUGUUGCUGAAGACGUUAAUUACAGAUGUCGAGUACCGGAAUGCGAUGGGGUAAAUGCGACAGUUGAAGUUCCGUUAUGGUGGCCAGAAGACCCGGAUACAAGAUGUAUGCGGCCCGUCCUCGACCCAUCGUUCAACCUUACCAGAGGUCAAUGCUCCAAUGUCACUUUCCUGCCGAUUAGGGAGGAAUGCACAGAAUGGAUCUACGAAAGCGAAAACUCCGUCGUAGCUGGGUUGAACCUCGGUUGUCAGUCGUGGAUCGCGACCCUGGUGGGCAGCGCUCACAACUCCGGCAUGAUCGCUUCCAUGAUCCUCACUGGAUGGGUCGCUGACAAGGUCGGAAGAAAGCCAACAGUAAUCAUAUGUGCCAUUGGCGGGGCCCUUGGAAUAUCAAAAAUAUUCAUUACUAAUUACUACAUCUAUCUAGUGGUGGAAUUCCUAGAAUCAUUCCUUUCAUCAGGACUCUAUACAGUUGGAGUUGUUUUACUAAUAGAAGUCGCAGGAGAUCGGAAAAGAGUCCUAGCAGGAGUAAUAUUUUCCUAUGCAACUUAUGUUGGCGAAGUAUUAUUCGCGUUCUUCGCGAUGGGGCUGAAACAUUGGAAGUACCUCAUUCUAGUCGCCAACGUGCCCUCAUUAUUCUUCAUAGUCUAUUUCUUCAUACUACGCGAGAGCACUAGAUGGCAAAUGUUACGAGGGAAAAUGGACGCUGCUAAGGAAACCUUCAAAAAGAUCGCAAAGACAAAUAAUCUGAACAUAUCGGCGAAAGAAAUUGAUGAUAUUUCAGAUGAAGACUUGCGAGAGAAGUUCAAUGUGUUGGUACAGAAAGAGAAAGAAAGCUUGAGAGAAAUACUGCGUUCGAAAGAGAUAAUGGUACGACUCUUGGUUUCGUCUGCGUGCUUUUUCAGUUCGAGUUUUGUGUACUGCGGGCUGUUGGUCCAUUCGGUAUUUUUACCCGGGAACAAAUAUACGAACUUCGCCCUGGCUUCCUUGACUUCCUUCCCUGGAGAUAUGCUGGCGUUUUACACGUUCAACAAGUUUGGGAGAAAAGUUACGCUCCAAUAUGGAUAUUUUGCUACUGCCGUUUUCAUAUUAGCACAGGCGUACACACCACAUACGCUACCCUGGCUGAAGGUAGCAUUAUUCUUGUUGGGGAAAUUCGCCGUGGUGGUAUGCUUCACGGGUAUCUUCACGUACAGCAUGGAGUUAUUCCCCACCAGCAUCCGAGGGUCCCUGGUCGGUGUGGGCAAUACUGCAGCCAGGAUCGGCAGCAUGCUCUCGCCGCUUACUCCACUCUUGACGAGCGAGAUAGAGACGCUGCCGUCCAUUUUGUUUGCAUCAACCGUAAUUUUGGCUGGACUUCUUCUCAUCUUUACUCCGGAAACGAAGAACAUGCCUCUCUUCGAUACCAUCGCGCAGGUCGAGGCUUAUAAAGCGAAAAAUAAGUCCGCCGCUUAGAAUUUCUAAUUUCUAGCUUCAAGUGGGUGAAUUUUUGAAAGUUUUUUUUUACGCAGGUCGAAGUUCUGUGAUACGCGAGUGCUUUUAAGUUCAUUAUGGAAUGCGACUUUCCAGGCUACGGUCCCCAAAAAUAAUGUUGGCGCUGCAUUUUUUUUAUUAAUUUAGGUUUAUUAUAGGAAGAUUUCACAAUAAAAUGAAACACGAAACCAUAAAAAAAAACAAAGAAAAAUGUAAUAUUUUUUACACUAAUAAUAUGGUUCCGAGAAUGAGGGACUUUCCAAGCUACGGUCACCAAAUCUAUAUAGAUGGCGUUGUACAGAUUUAACAUUAUAAUUAUCUAUUUUCUCAUUGCUCGGGUACCUCAUUAUUCAAAGAUAAUUUAAUGGCAGAAGUGUACUUAUAUAAAAAUAAUUCUUGCUUGAUACUGAAAUUGUUACCUAUAUUGCUUCUCUUUAUUUUGAUUAGAAUAAUAAUGGGUGGAAGAUGUAAGUGUUGUGUCUGGAAGUAAUAAAAAGGUUAUCAUUUAUGCCCAAAAACAAAGGUGAAAGAUGCACAGGGGGGUUAAAAU